Molecule: ribosomal RNA, 118 nt
Filed under: bacterium D16-51
Lineage: Bacteria
Also listed under: 1 other name
Source: RNAcentral
UUUGGUGGCGAUGCGCUUAGGGAAAACACCCGUUUCCAUACCGAACACGAUGGUUAAGACCUAAGCGGCCGAGGGUACUAUACUGGAGACGGUAUGGGAGAGUAGGUGGCCGCCAAGC